CAACAGGGAUUGCCCCAGUAACGGCGAGUGAAGCGGCAACAGCUCAAAUUUGAAAUCUGGCCCCUAGGGCCCGAGUUGUAAUUUGCAGAGGAUGCUUUUGGUGAGGCGCCUUCCAAGUUCCCUGGAACGGGACGCCACAGAGGGUGAGAGCCCCGUCUGGUUGGACGCCAAGCCUGUGUAAAGCACCUUCGACGAGUCGAGUAGUUUGGGAAUGCUGCUCUAAAUGGGAGGUAUAUGUCUUCUAAAGCUAAAUACUGGCCAGAGACCGAUAGCGCACAAGUAGAGUGAUCGAAAGAUGAAAAGCACUUUGAAAAGAGGGUUAAACAGUACGUGAAAUUGUUGAAAGGGAAGCGCUCAUGACCAGACUUGGGCCCGGUGAAUCAUCCAGCGUUCUCGCUGGUGCACUUUGCCGGGCUCAGGCCAGCAUCGGUUCGCCCCGGGGGAUAAAGGCUCUGGGAACGUGGCUCCCUCGGGAGUGUUAUAGCCCACUGCACAAUACCCUGUGGCGGACCGAGGUUCGCGCGUCUGCAAGGAUGCUGGCGUAAUGGUCAUCAGCGACCCGUCUUGAAACACGGACCAAGGAGUCGUCUUCGUAUGCGAGUGUUCGGGUGCGAAACCCCUACGCGUAAUGAAAGUGAACGCAGGUGAGAGCUUCGGCGCAUCAUCGACCGAUCCUGAUGUUCUCGGAUGGAUUUGAGUAAGAGCAUACGGGGCCGGACCCGAAAGAAGGUGAACUAUGCCUGUAUAGGGUGAAGCCAGAGGAAACUCUGGUGGAGGCUCGCAGCGGUUCUGACGUGCAAAUCGAUCGUCAAAUAUGGGCAUGGGGGCGAAAGACUAAUCGAACCUUCUAGUAGCUGGUUCCGC
Molecule: ribosomal RNA, 864 nt
Filed under: Metarhizium brasiliense
Lineage: Eukaryota; Fungi; Ascomycota; Sordariomycetes; Hypocreales; Clavicipitaceae
Description: partial large subunit ribosomal RNA
Rfam family: Eukaryotic large subunit ribosomal RNA
Source: RNAcentral